Small nucleolar RNA from Apodemus sylvaticus (European woodmouse), 130 nucleotides. RefSeq annotates it as small nucleolar RNA SNORA17. Lineage: Eukaryota; Metazoa; Chordata; Mammalia; Rodentia; Muridae. The record is from RefSeq and is a predicted model, not a curated record. The transcript has a single exon.
CCUACCCAUACAGGCUGGCAAGUGUGGUUGCUGUGUCACAUGUGUAUCAGGAAGUGGCAGAGAGCAGAGAGGCUUUGUCUACCCUCAAUAUUCUGACCUAUGAACAUCUGAAUGAUCAGUAGUUUUAAUU